Molecule: RNA transcript, 2069 nt
Organism: Malus domestica (apple)
Lineage: Eukaryota; Viridiplantae; Streptophyta; Magnoliopsida; Rosales; Rosaceae
Gene name: protein PIGMENT DEFECTIVE 338, chloroplastic
Source: RefSeq, a predicted model, not a curated record
GAACACAAAAAUCUAUCUGAAGGGAUAAACCUGGCCGGGAAAGACCAAGCUGCGUAGAAUGGUGGGUUCCAAAAGGUCCGUUAGACAUAGCUCAAUCUCAUGAGGUGCCAAGAUAACGAAACCAGAUAUGCUACUCCUUGCUCACCCCUGUAAGUCUUUCUCCUUCCCCGACUCGUCACUUCAUCUCGACAAUUUCAACUCACAAACCUCAGCAUCUGCAAAACCUUCAAGUUAUAGCUCCUUUUCCCCAAUUGGGUUGUCGAAAAGUCUGAAACUUUGUAGGAAUUUUCCCGUUUUGGGAAGUACCCGGAUUACGUUUUGCUCUAGGAGUGAGGUGUAUGAUAUUUUUCCAAGUACCCAUUUGGAGAACAAGUCUGAAGGGGAUGGGGUUGGAGAGAAUGAAGAGCUUGAGCUGCUGGAUAAGCCUUCCCAUGUACCUAUAAGUAAUGGGUCUGCUUUGGAAGUGGAUAAAGAUUCCGAAAAACCGGAUGAAGAAUCGGAAAUGAUUGAUAAAGACGAGGCAUUGGCGCCUUUCUUGAAGUUUUUCGCGCCGAGAGAUAGUGCGGAUGGAGAGGGAGUGGAAGGAAAGGGAGGGGAGGUUGGAGUUUUCGAGGAAGAAAGUGAAUUGGAUGGUGAUAAUGAGGAGGCUGAGAAGGUUAAUGUGGAAUACUAUGAACCGAAACCGGGUGAUUUUGUGGUUGGAAUUGUUGUUUCAGGCAAUGAGAAUAAACUUGAUGUGAAUGUCGGAGCAGACUUGUUGGGUACAAUGCUGACUAAGGAAGUGCUGCCUUUGUAUGACAAAGAGAUGGAUUACUUGUUAUGUGAUACGAAUUAUGAUGCCGAAGAGUUUAUGGUUAGAGGGAAGAUGGGAAUUGUGAAAAAUGAAGCUGUGAUGGGGGGACCUGUGCUGGGAGGGCCCGUUGUUGAAAUCGGAACUGUUUUGUUUGCUGAGGUUCUUGGAAGAACGCUCAGCGGUAGGCCUUUGCUUUCAACAAGACGGCUCUUCAGGCGAAUUGCUUGGCACCGAGUGAGGCAGAUAAAGCAACUCAAUGAACCUAUUGAAGUUAGAAUUACAGAAUGGAAUACUGGAGGCCUUCUGACAAGAAUUGAGGGUCUGCGAGCUUUCCUUCCAAAAACUGAGUUAAUGAGUAAAGUGAACAACUUCACUGAAUUGAAAGAGAAUGUGGGUUGCCGGAUGCAUGUGCAGAUUACUCGAAUAGACGAAACUAAGAAUGACUUAGUUUUGAGUGAGAAAGAAGCUUGGGAACUGUUAUACCUUAAGGAGGGAACACUUUUAGAAGGAACUGUCAAGAAAAUCUUUCCAUAUGGAGCCCAAGUGAGGAUAGGAGAAACUAACAGGAGUGGCUUGUUGCAUAUAUCAAACAUCACUCGUGCCCGAAUUACCUCUGUCAGUGACAUACUUAAGGUUAAUGAGAAGCUCAAAGUUCUGGUUGUGAAGUCGAUGUUUCCUGACAAAAUAUCUCUCAGCAUUGCUGACCUUGAAAGUGAGCCUGGCCUCUUUUUGUCGAACAGAGAGAAAUUAUUUUCGGAGGCUCAAAUGAUGGCAAAGAAGUAUAGGCAAAAGCUGCCUGCUGUUCUUGCCAACCGCAAGUCAGAAUCCCCUGAAAACGAUGCUCUGCCUUUUGACAAAUUAAGCAUGUAUGCAAAUUGGAAGUGGUUCAAAUUCGAAAGGUAAUAAGAACCAAGCUGAUGCUUAAGGUUGCCCUGUGAUACUGGUAGUUUGAAAGAGCACUGUUUAACUUUGCCGUCCAUCUCAAAGCACACAUUCCUCGAGAGUCGACAGAACCAAUUCCGAAAAGUUUGGUACAACUUCGGCACACCCUUGCAUAGCCGCGAAGCCUUCUUUGUGGAGCAACUUCCUUCAGUUCUAAUAAGGUGUGGGCUUGCCUUGGGGGUGCUCCCUAAGGAUAAAGUGUAGGAGGAAUGUAUUGAAUGAUCAUAGAAAAAGUAAUGACAGCCUUCACAAAUGUAACUAUUUAAAUACAAUUUGUUGAUAUUAUGUUAUAUACUAUUUACUAUGAAAUAAGUUGGUCUCGCGUUGUUUUGUU